This 490-nucleotide ribosomal RNA is filed under the name uncultured bacterium. RNAcentral describes it as "partial 16S ribosomal RNA". It matches the Rfam family "Bacterial small subunit ribosomal RNA", at positions 30 to 507 of the family's 1533-position model. The record is from RNAcentral.
AUUGAACGCUGGCGGCAGGCCUAACACAUGCAAGUCGAACGGUAACAGGAAGAAGCUUGCUUCUUUGCUGACGAGUGGCGGACGGGUGAGUAAUGUCUGGGAAACUGCCUGAUGGAGGGGGAUAACUACUGGAAACGGUAGCUAAUACCGCAUAACGUCGCAAGACCAAAGAGGGGGACCUUCGGGCCUCUUGCCAUCGGAUGUGCCCAGAUGGGAUUAGCUAGUAGGUGGGGUAACGGCUCACCUAGGCGACGAUCCCUAGCUGGUCUGAGAGGAUGACCAGCCACACUGGAACUGAGACACGGUCCAGACUCCUACGGGAGGCAGCAGUGGGGAAUAUUGCACAAUGGGCGCAAGCCUGAUGCAGCCAUGCCGCGUGUAUGAAGAAGGCCUUCGGGUUGUAAAGUACUUUCAGCGGGGAGGAAGGGAGUAAAGUUAAUACCUUUACUCAUUGACGUUACCCGCAGAAGAAGCACCGGCUAACACCGUG